AUUGUACGCUGGCGGCAUGCCUUACACAUGCAAGUCGAACGGUAACAGGUCUUCGGAUGCUGACGAGUGGCGAACGGGUGAGUAAUACAUCGGAACGUGCCUAGUAGUGGGGGAUAACUACUCGAAAGAGUGGCUAAUACCGCAUGAGAUCUACGGAUGAAAGCAGGGGAUCGCAAGACCUUGUGCUACUAGAGCGGCCGAUGGCAGAUUAGGUAGUUGGUGGGAUAAAAGCUUACCAAGCCGACGAUCUGUAGCUGGUCUGAGAGGACGAUCAGCCACACGGGGACUGAGACACGGCCCAGACUCCUACGGGAGGCAGCAGUGGGGAAUUUUGGACAAUGGGCGAAAGCCUGAUCCAGCAAUGCCGCGUGCAGGAUGAAGGCCUUCGGGUUGUAAACUGCUUUUGUACGGAACGAAAAGCCCCGGGUUAAUACCCUGGGGUCAUGACGGUACCGUAAGAAUAAGCACCGGCUAACUACGUGCCAGCCGCCGCUGUAA
This 498-nucleotide ribosomal RNA is filed under the name uncultured bacterium. RNAcentral describes it as "partial 16S ribosomal RNA". It matches the Rfam family "Bacterial small subunit ribosomal RNA", at positions 30 to 523 of the family's 1533-position model. The record is from RNAcentral.